This 266-nucleotide ribosomal RNA is filed under the name Limosilactobacillus reuteri. RNAcentral's name for it is "partial 16S ribosomal RNA". It matches the Rfam family "Bacterial small subunit ribosomal RNA", at positions 942 to 1209 of the family's 1533-position model. Lineage: Bacteria; Bacillati; Bacillota; Bacilli; Lactobacillales; Lactobacillaceae. The record is from RNAcentral.
UGGUUUAAUUCGAAGCUACGCGAAGAACCUUACCAGGUCUUGACAUCUUGCGCUAACCUAAGAGAUUAGGCGUUCCCUUCGGGGACGCAAUGACAGGUGGUGCAUGGUCGUCGUCAGCUCGUGUCGUGAGGUGUUGGGUUAAGUCCCGCAACGAGCGCAACCCUUGUUACUAGUUGCCAGCAUUAAGUUGGGCACUCUAGUGAGACUGCCGGUGACAAACCGGAGGAAGGUGGGGACGACGUCAGAUCAUCAUGCCCCUUAUGACC